GGGCGCAUAGCUCAGUUGGCUAGAGCGCUGGCUUUACAUGCCAGAUGUCGGGGGUUCGAGUCCCUCUGCGCCCACCU
RNAcentral lists this transfer RNA (77 nucleotides) under Ilumatobacter sp. RNAcentral's name for it is "tRNA-Val". It matches the Rfam family "tRNA". From Rfam's summary of the family: Transfer RNA (tRNA) molecules are approximately 80 nucleotides in length. Their secondary structure includes four short double-helical elements and three loops (D, anti-codon, and T loops). Further hydrogen bonds mediate the characteristic L-shaped molecular structure. tRNAs have two regions of fundamental functional importance: the anti-codon, which is responsible for specific mRNA codon recognition, and the 3' end, to which the tRNAs corresponding amino acid is attached (by aminoacyl-tRNA synthetases). tRNAs cope with the degeneracy of the genetic code in two manners: having more than one tRNA (with a specific anti-codon) for a particular amino acid; and 'wobble' base-pairing, i.e. permitting non-standard base-pairing at the 3rd anti-codon position. Lineage: Bacteria; Bacillati; Actinomycetota; Acidimicrobiia; Acidimicrobiales; Ilumatobacteraceae. The record is from RNAcentral.